RNAcentral lists this ribosomal RNA (1341 nucleotides) under uncultured bacterium. Its description in RNAcentral is "partial 16S ribosomal RNA". It matches the Rfam family "Bacterial small subunit ribosomal RNA", at positions 28 to 1381 of the family's 1533-position model. The record is from RNAcentral.
GACGAACGCUGGCGGCGUGCUUAACACAUGCAAGUCGAACGGUAAGGCUCCAGCUUGCUGGGGUACACGAGUGGCGAACGGGUGAGUAACACGUGGGUGACCUGCCCUGCACUUCGGGAUAAGCCUGGGAAACUGGGUCUAAUACCGGAUAGGACCGCACCGUGAGGGUGUGGUGGAAAGUUUUUUCGGUGUGGGAUGGGCCCGCGGCCUAUCAGCUUGUUGGUGGGGUAAUGGCCUACCAAGGCGGCGACGGGUAGCCGGCCUGAGAGGGUGGACGGCCACAUUGGGACUGAGACACGGCCCAGACUCCUACGGGAGGCAGCAGUGGGGAAUAUUGCACAAUGGGCGGAAGCCUGAUGCAGCGACGCCGCGUGGGGGAUGACGGCCUUCGGGUUGUAAACUCCUUUCACCAUCGACGAAGGGUUUCUGACGGUAGAUGGAGAAGAAGCACCGGCUAACUACGUGCCAGCAGCCGCGGUAAUACGUAGGGUGCGAGCGUUGUCCGGAAUUACUGGGCGUAAAGAGCUCGUAGGUGGUUUGUCGCGUCGUCUGUGAAAUUCCGGGGCUUAACUCCGGGCGUGCAGGCGAUACGGGCAUAACUUGAGUACUGUAGGGGAGACUGGAAUUCCUGGUGUAGCGGUGAAAUGCGCAGAUAUCAGGAGGAACACCGGUGGCGAAGGCGGGUCUCUGGGCAGUAACUGACGCUGAGGAGCGAAAGCAUGGGGAGCGAACAGGAUUAGAUACCCUGGUAGUCCAUGCCGUAAACGGUGGGCGCUAGGUGUGGGUUUCCUUCCACGGGAUCCGUGCCGUAGCUAACGCAUUAAGCGCCCCGCCUGGGGAGUACGGCCGCAAGGCUAAAACUCAAAGGAAUUGACGGGGGCCCGCACAAGCGGCGGAGCAUGUGGAUUAAUUCGAUGCAACGCGAAGAACCUUACCUGGGCUCGACAUAUACAGGAUCGCGCCAGAGAUGGUGUUUCCCUUGUGGCUUGUAUACAGGUGGUGCAUGGUUGUCGUCAGCUCGUGUCGUGAGAUGUUGGGUUAAGUCCCGCAACGAGCGCAACCCUUGUCUUAUGUUGCCAGCACGUUGUGGUGGGGACUCGUAAGAAACUGCCGGGGUUAACUCGGAGGAAGGUGGGGAUGACGUCAAAUCAUCAUGCCCCUUAUGUCCAGGGCUUCACACAUGCUACAAUGGUCGGUACAGUGGGUUGCCAGUCCGUGAGGGCGAGCUAAUCCCGCAAAGCCGGUCUCAGUUCGGAUCGGGGUCUGCAACUCGACCCCGUGAAGUCGGAGUCGCUAGUAAUCGCAGAUCAGCAACGCUGCGGUGAAUACGUUCCCGGGCCU